This is a long non-coding RNA of Hibiscus syriacus, 163 nucleotides long. RefSeq lists it as uncharacterized. The record is from RefSeq and is a predicted model, not a curated record. The transcript has 3 exons. Lineage: Eukaryota; Viridiplantae; Streptophyta; Magnoliopsida; Malvales; Malvaceae.
CAAAUAUAAAAUUUUCCAAAAAAAUAAGAAAAAGAAACAGAAAAUCUUUCUCCUAUACAUGAUCGUGCAUCAAGUACAGAGCUUGGAACAUAGAUGUUGAAGUUGGGAAGAGUUUUCCUCUGUUAGUGUAUAGAUUUCGCUUUUCCCAUUGCCUAUGCAUGUC